AACGCACUUGUUAAAGUAUUUUUAUAAAUUUAUCUCAUAAAAAUAUUAAAUUGAUACACGACAGUACUAUAAAAACGAAGCCUAUGAAAUAGAAUUUUAAUAACUAAAACAAUUUACGUUAAAGGAUAAUUUAAUGGUUCCUCAGUCAUUAAAAUGAACUGGUGCGCGAAGGAAUACUCAGCUGCAGUACUAUCUUUGAGUAGAUCUGCGUUUGACAGAUAUCUCGCGGGAAAUGCUGUUUGUAAUGCCUACUAAUCAUCUACUAUUCCAGUGAGAAUUGUUUACAGGGUCCUCAUUCUUUAUACGUAACGCAUCGCGUUGCAUUUAAGAUAAUAGAAAUGGGCACACAGAAUACUUGUCCACAAUAAUAUUACGAAGAUAAUGUAAUAUGGCCGUGUUACGAGUUUACACUUUCUUGGUGAAUAAGGCACCAGAGCAGUUUUUAGACAG
Long non-coding RNA from Manduca sexta (tobacco hornworm), 450 nucleotides. RefSeq lists it as uncharacterized. The transcript has 2 exons. The record is from RefSeq and is a predicted model, not a curated record. Lineage: Eukaryota; Metazoa; Arthropoda; Insecta; Lepidoptera; Sphingidae.